RNAcentral lists this ribosomal RNA (468 nucleotides) under uncultured bacterium. RNAcentral describes it as "partial 16S ribosomal RNA". It matches the Rfam family "Bacterial small subunit ribosomal RNA", at positions 28 to 507 of the family's 1533-position model. The record is from RNAcentral.
GACGAACGCUGGCGGCGUGCUUAACACAUGCAAGUCGAACGGAAAGGCCCUGCUUUUGUGGGGUGCUCGAGUGGCGAACGGGUGGGUAACACGUGAGUAACCUGCCCUUGACUUUGGGAUAACUUCAGGAAACUGGGGCUAAUACCGGAUAGGAGCUCCUGCUGCAUGGUGGGGGUUGGAAAGUUUCGGCGGUUGGGGAUGGACUCGCGGCUUAUCAGCUUGUUGGUGGGGUAGUGGCUUACCAAGGCUUUGACGGGUAGCCGGCCUGAGAGGGUGACCGGCCACCUUGGGACUGAGAUACGGCCCAGACUCCUACGGGAGGCAGCAGUGGGGAAUAUUGCACAAUGGGCGGAAGCCUGAUGCAGAAACGCCGCGUGCGGGAUGACGGCCUUCGGGUUGUAAACCGCUUUCGCCUGUGACGAAGCGUGAGUGACGGUAAUGGGUAAAGAAGCACCGGCUAACUACGUG